UACGAAGGGGGCUAGCGUUGUUCGGAAUUACUGGGCGUAAAGCGCGCGCAGGCGGUCUUCCAAGUCAGUGGUGAAAGCCCGGAGCUCAACUCCGGAACUGCCAUUGAAACUGUUGGACUUGAGUACGAGAGAGGUGAGUGGAAUUCCCAGUGUAGAGGUGAAAUUCGUAGAUAUUGGGAAGAACACCGGUGGCGAAGGCGGCUACACUGGCUCGUAACUGACGCUCAGGCGCGACAGCGUGGGGAUCGAAACAGG
Molecule: ribosomal RNA, 255 nt
Filed under: uncultured bacterium
Lineage: Bacteria
Description: partial 16S ribosomal RNA
Rfam family: Bacterial small subunit ribosomal RNA
Source: RNAcentral